GACGAACGCUGGCGGCGUGCUUAACACAUGCAAGUCGAACGGAAAGGCCCUGCUUUUGUGGGGUGCUCGAGUGGCGAACGGGUGAGUAACACGUGAGUAACCUGUCCUUGCCUUUGGGAUAACCUCAGGAAACUGGGGCUAAUACCGGAUAGGAGCUCCUGCUGCAUGGUGGGGGUUGGAAAGUUUCGGCGGUUGGGGAUGGACUCGCGGCUUAUCAGCUUGUUGGUGGGGUGGUGGCUUACCAAGGCUUUGACGGGUAGCCGGCCUGGGCGGGUGACCGGCCACAUUGGGACUGAGAUACGGCCCAGACUCCUACGGGAGGCAGCAGGGGGGAAUAUUGCACAAUGGGCGGAAGCCUGAUGCAGCAACGCCGCGUGCGGGAUGACGGCCUUCGGGUUGUAAACCGCUUUCGCCUGUGACGAAGCGUGAGUGACGGUAAUGGGUAAAGAAGCACCGGCUAACUACGUG
This 468-nucleotide ribosomal RNA is filed under the name uncultured bacterium. RNAcentral's name for it is "partial 16S ribosomal RNA". It matches the Rfam family "Bacterial small subunit ribosomal RNA", at positions 28 to 507 of the family's 1533-position model. The record is from RNAcentral.